Molecule: ribosomal RNA, 450 nt
Filed under: uncultured bacterium
Lineage: Bacteria
Description: bacterial SSU rRNA
Rfam family: Bacterial small subunit ribosomal RNA
Source: RNAcentral
GUGGGGAAUAUUGGACAAUGGGCGAAAGCCUGAUCCAGCCAUGCCGCGUGUGUGAAGAAGGUCUUCGGAUUGUAAAGCACUUUAAGUUGGGAGGAAGGGCAGUAAGUUAAUACCUUGCUGUUUUGACGUUACCGACAGAAUAAGCACCGGCUAACUUCGUGCCAGCAGCCGCGGUAAUACGAAGGGUGCAAGCGUUAAUCGGAAUUACUGGGCGUAAAGCGCGCGUAGGUGGUUUUGUAAGUUGGAGGUGAAAUCACCGGGCUCAACCUGGGACCUGACUCCCAAACUGCAUGACUAGAGUACGGUAGAGGGUAGUGGAAUUUCCUGUGUAGCGGUGAAAUGCGUAGAUAUAGGAAGGAACACCAGUGGCGAAGGCGACUACCUGGACUGAUACUGACACUGAGGUGCGAAAGCGUGGGGAGCAAACAGGAUUAGAAACCCCUGUAGUCC